ACGGGUGAGUAACACGUAGGCAACCUGCCUGUAAGACUGGGAUAACUACCGGAAACGGUAGCUAAUACCGGAUAGCUGGUUUUCUCGCAUGAGAGAAUCAUGAAAGACGGAGCAAUCUGUCACAUAUGGAUGGGCCUGCGGCGCAUUAGCUAGUUGGUGAGGUAAUGGCUUACCAAGGCGACGAUGCGUAGCCGACCUGAGAGGGUGAACGGCCACACUGGGACUGAGACACGGCCCAGACUCCUACGGGAGGCAGCAGUAGGGAAUCUUCCGCAAUGGACGAAAGUCUGACGGAGCAACGCCGCGUGAGUGAUGAAGGUUUUCGGAUCGUAAAGCUUUGUUGCCAGGGAAGAACGUCUUGGAGAGUAACUGCUCUAAGAGUGACGGUACCUGAGAAGAAAGCCCCGGCUAACUACGUGCCAGCAGCCGCGGUAAUACGUAGGGGGCAAGCGUUGUCCGGAAUUAUUGGGCGUAAAGCGCGCGCAGGCGGCUAUGUAAGUCUGGUGUAUAACCUCGGGGCUCAACUCCGGGUCGCACUGGAAACUGUGUAGCUUGAGUACAGAAGAGGAGAGUGGAAUUU
Molecule: ribosomal RNA, 580 nt
Filed under: uncultured bacterium
Lineage: Bacteria
Description: bacterial SSU rRNA
Rfam family: Bacterial small subunit ribosomal RNA
Source: RNAcentral